RNAcentral lists this transfer RNA (72 nucleotides) under Candidatus Poribacteria bacterium. RNAcentral describes it as "tRNA-Gln". It matches the Rfam family "tRNA". Rfam says of the family: Transfer RNA (tRNA) molecules are approximately 80 nucleotides in length. Lineage: Bacteria; Candidatus Poribacteria. The record is from RNAcentral.
UGGGCGGUGGCCAAGCGGUAAGGCACGGGCCUUUGGAGCCUGUAUGCGUAGGUUCAAAUCCUACCCGCCCAG